CAGAUAAAUAGACCAGUCAAGCAGAUUUCAUCCCAUGCAUCAUUGCAAAAUAAUCAUCCCAAGAAAAAGCCUGCCAGACCAUUCUUUGAUGAUGAAGAUGAGGAUACAAAGGCUCUUGAUAUUAUUAGGCAAAUGUUCAAUACAAGAAGGUAUGCUGAUCGCUAUGAUGACGAAGAUGAUGAUAGUAUCCCUUCUCCUCUUUCUCAUUUCUCCUUUCUCUUCUUCCCUCCAUCCCUUUUAUGUUGGCACGGAGAAGUGCAAAAAUAGCAAAGGAGGAGGAUGAGGAGCAACUCCGCCUGAUAGAGGAAGAGGAGCGGCGGGAGCAGCAGAGAAAAUUGGCAAAGAAGCGCAAGCUGAGCCAACAUUGACGGAGUGACAAUUCCUCAUUUCUUUUCUAUUUUCUGAUUCUGGCAAGGUCCCAUCCAGUUCUGCAUCACUGCCUAUGAUGAUGUAGUUUGGGUUCUCAUUGUGCUUAUAUUCUUGAAUUAUAGGAAUGUGUUUGGCAGUUUUAGAUGCAAUUAAUUAUAGAUAACAAGUGAAGGUAUUUUUGGCAGUUGCAUUUUUUUGACUUAGGAAUAAUAUUGCUGUGUAGUGAUUCCUGGCCAAUUCAUUAGGAUUAUACUGACCAAGGAAAAUGUCUUCACAUAUGGUCUGGCUGAAAGAUUUGUUGGGUUUGGAAAAUGAUCGAUAUGUCAUUUCUAACUUUUGGUGCGAUGC
This 717-nucleotide unclassified non-coding RNA is filed under the name Hevea brasiliensis (rubber tree). Lineage: Eukaryota; Viridiplantae; Streptophyta; Magnoliopsida; Malpighiales; Euphorbiaceae. The record is from RNAcentral.